This 949-nucleotide ribosomal RNA is filed under the name Gymnocephalus cernua (ruffe). RNAcentral's name for it is "partial small subunit ribosomal RNA". The record is from RNAcentral. Lineage: Eukaryota; Metazoa; Chordata; Actinopteri; Perciformes; Percidae.
AGGCUUCCGACUUACUAUCAACUAGCUAGACACAUGCGUGACCCUCCCGGGAGGAGCGGUGGCACAUUUACUUAGCCACCCACCCGGGCAGUGAUUAAGCCAUAAGUACUUGACUUAGUGGGCCGGUUCGUGGCACCGCUACGAGGCCCGCUGAUAGAUAGGCGUGUGGGAUAAAGCCCUUCAGCGCCGAAGACGUGGCUUUACCCCACGCUACGACACAAGGGCCCAUGCUUAGCGGUAGCACCUACUACCGCCAGCGCUGGAUGGCGGUGCUUUACUAGAAGCCUGUUCUACCGCGUUCCUUUCCGCCUAUAUACCGCCGUCGUGCACCCUAGGGUGCGGCCAACGUCAGGUCGAGGUGUAGCGGGAAGGAGAAAUGGGCUUCCUAGGAGAUGUACUGCGUACAUCUUUAGAGCAGGAUCCAGCUUGAAGCGCGCACACGCCCGUCCUCCCCGCCGCGGGGGAGGUCGUAACGUAAGUGUACCGGUGCACUUGCAAUGGUUUCCUUAAAGUAUCCGCACCCCCAGAAUACAGUUCGCCCAACAUAUCACCCAUGACUUGCUUAGCACUCAAGAACUCAAUAAACGAAACAAAGCUAAAAAAAACCCACGGUUAGAAAUCAAAGCUUAAUCUUAAUAUAAACGAACACAAUGUUAUACACCGUAAGAAGUUCAACCGAAAUAACCUGAACGAAAAACAUUAGAUACCUACGUAAACGUUCACUACCCUGGGAACUACGAUCAUGAAACCCAAACUGAUCCACGGAGAAUAACCCCCAACCUCAUUGUUUUUCCCCAUUGUGAAUUUAUAAAAAAAUUUACAAUAAGUAUGAACAUUAAAACAAUUACGGACAGAUGAAGGAGGACAGUAAAUAGAGCGGAAAUUGGCCCCACACUAAUAUCAACUAAUAUAACUAAAACCUUAUAAUCAAGCAAAUGGGAAGAAAAAU